CUCGCCCCGGUACCGGAUCUCGUGAAUCCGCAACUCGCUCCGAUACCAACUGCUGUGGAUCCGGUAUCGAUUGUUGGGAUUCCGCAACGGAAGCGUCAAAUCGGGUUUUUUACCAUAAACCCGUCUCCUCAGCAAAAGCUGAUACAAUCAUAAAAGAGAAAAAUAUGCUGGUAAAAUAAGAUUCAUUAAAUAAGAGAAGAUUACACCUGACUCCUCUUCUGCACAGAGUAGUUACAACCCGAGUCCUCUUUCUUGAAUCUCUCCUACCCUUCUCUCGUCUUCUAUAAUUCCACAAAGAAGACAAUCAUCCACGCGCGCCCGUGCACUAGGUGCACUCAACACAUUGGAUAACUCUCUCUCUCUCUCUUUUUCUCUCUCUCGGGUACGGCACCACACAAGCUCCUGCCGUACACCCUCACAGCUUCUCACAAAGAGCUAUUUAUAAGGCUCUACUAAAACGUACCCCAAUCCUAAUAUAUUUAGGAUUUCUACUCCAAUUAAUAUCUAAAUCUAUCUUAAUUAAUCUCUAAUAGAUUUAAAUAUUAAUCCUAAUCUAGUUAGGUUUAUCCUCUAAUUAAUAUUUAAAUCUUAAUUUAUCUCAAACAGAUUUAAAUAUUAAUUCUUAUCCAAAUAGGAUUUAACUACAAAUCUAAUCAAAUCCUAACAUUCUCCACCUUGGUUUGAUUUGUAAUUUUCAACCGUCACGUCGAGCUCACCAUGCAAGCUCCACCUUGAGCUUGUCUCCUCCGCUCGAUGUCGCCGCAUCCGCCGCUCCGCCUCGAGCGACUGCACCUCCGCGAACUUUUGGAACCCAAACCGUUUUCGCUCUCGUUCUGACUGUGCUUCCGUUCAGAACGUAUAAGUUCCCACGCUUGUUCGCCUCGCACACGACCCGAUCUCGUUUUCGGACCCUCAUAGCUCCACCUGAAGCCGAAAUAUCGCAACCCUUCGAGUCCAAUGCGCCUAACGAGAUCAAAUUCCGCUUCAAUCCAGGAACGUGCCGCACACCUGUCAGCGUCCUCACGACCCCAUCGUGCAUUCGGAUCUUUACCGUGCCGACUCCCAAUACCUUGCACGCUGUCCCGUUCCCCAUCAGCGCCUUUUCACCUUUGAUCGCCUUAUAGGUGGCAAAAGACUCCUUCUCUGGGCAUACGUGAAAAGAACACGCCUAAUCGAGCACCCACGCAUCGUCCGAAAUUUUCGCACCUCCGGUUGCCGCAUACAACACAUCAGAAUCGAUCAUCUCCGACUCUGCUGUCUGCGUCGUCGCUGAUACCGUCUCGUCCUGGUUCACGACAGUUUGCUCCUUCUGUCGCUUUAACUCCUUCAGAUCAUUCUGAAGUUUUUGACAGUUGCGCUUUAUAUGCCCUUUCCUGUGACAGUAAAAGCACUCCACCUCAGAUAGCGGCUUCUUCUGUCGAUCUCCGGUCGCUAAUGUUGUCGCCUUCUUCUUCGCUCUAACCACCAAAGCUGUAUCCCGGUUCUAUGUGCCGGACUCUUGAGUCAUCUUCCGUAUCUCGUUCGAGAGAAGCGCCGCCGUGACUGCCCCCACGCUUAUGGUCUCUUUGCCAUAAAGCAACGUGGUCACCAGAUGCUCAUAUAUCGCCGGUAGCGAAGAUAGUAAAAUCAGCGCCUUAUCUUCAUCAUCCAGAUUGACUCCGAUGCUAGUCAACUGGGCUACCACCUUGUUGAACUCAUUUAGAUGAUUAUGUAGGCUCGCCGCUUCUUGCAUCCGCAACGUAAACAGUCGCUGCUUCAAAUACAAUCUGUUCGUCAGGGAUUUGGUCAUGUACAGAUCUUCCAAUUUCUUCCACAAUUUCGCCGGUGUCGUCUCGCCGACUACAUUGUAAAGAACCUCAUCUGCUAAUGAUAGAUGAAGCGUACUCAGCGCCUUCCGCUCCAUCUUCGUCCAUGCCGCAUCCGUGACCUCUGCCGGCUUCGCCUCCUUCUCGUUCAACGUCUCGUCUAACUCUUGCUGUACGAGGAUUGCUCGUACUUUAAUUUGCCAUAAUCCGAAAUUGUUCUUGUCGUCGAACUUCUCGAUUUCGAAUUUCGUGGCCAUCUCCGUCGAUCUCUCCCGCAGAUCGGUAACCUUUGGCUCUGAUACCACUUGUUGGGAAUCCGGUACUCGCCCCGGUACUGGAUCUCGUGAAUCCGCAACUCGCUCCGAUACCGACUGCUGUGGAUCCGGUAUCGAUUGUUGGGAUUCCGCAACGGAAGCGUCAAAUCGGGUUUUUUACCAUAAACCCGUGUCCUCAGCAAAAGCUGAUACAAUCAUAAAAGAGAAAAAUAUGUAGGUAAAAUAAGAUUCAUUAAAUAAGAGAAGAUUACACCUGACUCCUCUUCUGCACAGAGUAGCUACAACCCGAGCCCUCUUUCUUGAAUCUCUCCUACCCUUCUCUCGUCUUCUAUAAUUCCACAAAGAAGACAAUCAUCCACGCGCACCCGUGCACUAGGUGCACUCAACACAUUGGAUAACUCUCUCUCUCUCUCUUUUUCUCUCUCUCGGGUACGGCACCACACAAGCUCCUGCCGUACACCCUCACAGCUUCUCACAAAGAGCUAUUUAUAAGACUCCACUAAAACGUACCCUAAUCCUAAUAUAUUUAGGAUUUCUACUCCAAUUAAUAUCUAAAUCUAUCUUAAUUAAUCUCUAAUAGAUUUAAAUAUUAAUCCUAAUCUAGUUAGGUUUAUCCUCUAAUAUUUAAAUCUUAAUUUAUCUCAAACAGAUUUAAAUAUUAAUUCUUAUCCAAAUAGGAUUUAACUACAAAUCUAACCAAAUCCUAACAAC
This 2791-nucleotide long non-coding RNA is filed under the name Ananas comosus (pineapple). Its description in RNAcentral is "long non-coding RNA (ACOM_LNC009378)". Lineage: Eukaryota; Viridiplantae; Streptophyta; Magnoliopsida; Poales; Bromeliaceae. The record is from RNAcentral.